This 407-nucleotide ribosomal RNA is filed under the name uncultured bacterium. RNAcentral describes it as "partial 16S ribosomal RNA". It matches the Rfam family "Bacterial small subunit ribosomal RNA", at positions 30 to 526 of the family's 1533-position model. The record is from RNAcentral.
AUUGAACGCUAGCGGGAUGCCUUACACAUGCAAGUCGAACGGAGUGGCGAACGGGUGAGUAAUGUAUCGGAACCUGCCCGGUAGCGGGGGAUAACUACCCGAAAGCGUCGCUAAUACCGCAUACUAUUGGAUCAGCCGAUGUCGGAUUAGCUAGUUGGUGGGGUAACGGCUUACCAAGGCGACGAUCCGUAGCUGGUUUGAGAGGACGACCAGCAACACUGGGACUGAGACACGGUCCAGACGCCUACGGGAGGCAGCAGUGGGGAAUAUUGGACAAUGGGGGAAACCCUGAUCCAGCCAUCCCGCGUGUGCGAUGAAGGCCUUCGGGUUGUAAAGCACUUUUGGCAGGAAAGCGGUACCUUCAGAAUAAGCACCGGCUAACUACGUGCCAGCCGCCGCGGUAAUUC